CUGCAGACCAGACUUCCAUGGCAGGCUGAGCUCUCCAAUCUUCAGUAAGGAAUUGCUGAAUAGGCACAGAGGGCACCUGCCACAUUCAGAUCAGUCUGCACCCUCAGGCAGAGGAGCAGUGAACUCAGGAGCUGGAGCAGUCCAUUUACCCUGAAAUUCCUCCUUGGUCACAGCUUUUUUUCAGCAACAGCUUGCUCUUCCUUUUCAUCUUUUUUUAUCUUAUUAUAUAUAUAUAUUUUUUUGAGACAGAGUCUCACUCUGUUGCCCAAGCUGCAGUGCAGUGGUGCUGUCUCAGCUCACUGCAACCUCCACCUUCUGGGUUCAAGUGAUUCGCCUGCCUCAGUGUCCCAAGUAGCUGGGACUACAGGCACGUGCCACCAUGCCAGCUAAUUUUUGUAUUUUUAGUAAAGACCGGGUUUCACCAUGUUGGCCAGGCUGGUCUUGAACUCCUGACCUCAGUGAUUCACCCACCUUGGUCUCCCAAAGUGAUGGGAUUACAGGCGUGAAUCACCACACCUGGCCUUCCUUUUCAACCUCUUUAGGAUCUCUAUAAAAGUAGAGAUCAGGCCUGAGCUCCCAUGAGUGUUCACAGGAGAUGGUGCCAUGCAUGCACAGAAGUUCCCAAACCAGCAUCCACCAUAUCAAACCCGGAAUCUGUGUGAGAAGGCAUGCCUUCAUACUUCAGGCAGUUUACAAGACAGCCUUAGCUUUCGUUUUCUGCUUGCUACAGAGCCUUAAGGUCAGCCAGAAGCGAGUGACUGGAAACUUCUUCAUUCCCAUCUCUCUCCUGGCAUCUCACCAUUGUCACAAUGACUGCCAGUUCCCAGGCCUCAACCUGGAAUCUCAGAAGCAACUCUUUUUGUACAGCUGAGGGGCACCUGGAACAUAGAAGUUAAGAAGAGAUCUGGCUGGGAUCAAGAAACCUCUUUUCACUGCACCUGAGGCUCAGUUGUGCCCUCUGCUGACACUAGGUCAGGAGGCUGGACAGCUCCAACUGGAAACUUGGAGCAGGGUUUUAAGACCUCUGCUUUCUCACUUUGAAGAAUUGGAAUAGAAAAAUAGAAAAUACAAAAAUGAUGAGUCCUUGGAAUUGAUAGGACACGUAGACUUGAGAGACUUGAACAUGUUUUUUGUCUGUUUGAUUCCCUUCUCUAUUCCCAGUGUUUCGAGCAGUUCUAGUCCAUGGUAAGUGCUCAGUAAAUAUUUGUGCUGAUGAGCAAGCAAAAGGCUGUUCUGCUGUGAAAGGUAUGGUGGAGACCCUUAUGCUCCUAGAAAGAUGCAGAGAACAAUUGCCUUGUUUCCUGACAAGUCCCUGUCCAAGGUCCUCAUCAGGCUUAGGUAGGCUUCCUGCCCUCUGGUUCUAGGAGAUAUCCCUAUAUGUGUGUAACAAAUCAUUUUUUUUUCUUAUACUAUAUUGAGGGGUUUGGCAUAGAUUGCCAGUCUUUUUUUAUUUUUAUUUUUAUUUUUAGACAGAGUCUUGCUCUGUCGCCCAGGCUGGAGUGCAGUAGCACCAUCAUGACUCACUGCAGCCUCAACUUCCCAGGCUCAGGUGAUCCUCCCAUCUCAGCCUCCCAAGUAGCUGGGAUUACAGGUGUGGGCCACUGUGCCCAGCUCUAGGCUGGUCUUGAACUCCUAGGCUCAAGUGAUCCUCCCGCCUUCGCCUCCCAAAGUGUUGGAAUUACAGGUGUGAGCCAACAAGCCUAGCCAAUAAACUGAGCAUUCUUUUUAUUUUAUUUUAUUUUAUUUAUUUAUUUAUUUAUUUUUGAGAAGGAGUUUCACUCUUGCUGCCCAGGCAGGAGUGCAAUGGCGCUAUCUCUGGCUCACCGCAACCUCUGCCUCCCGGGUUCAAGUGAUUCUCCUGCCUCAGCCUCCCGAGUAGCUGGGAUUACAGGCAUGUGCCACAAUACCCGGCUAAUUUUGUAUUUUUAGUAGAGACGGGUUUUCUCCAUGUUGGUUAGGGUGGUCUCGAACUCCCAACCUCAGGUGAUCCGCCUGCCUCAGCCUCCCAAAGUGGUAGGAUUACAGGUGUGAGCCACCACACCCGGCCCUGAACAUUCUUUUAAAUAAUUCAGAUGGGCUGAUUCCAUUCAGGGGGUCCCAUAUAUGGAGCUUUACUUAAUUUGAAGGGUGAAAGGGGCAAAUGUUAAUAAAUCACGGUUCCUAUGCUUUGGCAUCUGCUGAGAUAGCUUUUUCUGCUACUUCUCUUGACAUCCUGGCCCCUGUGAGGACCAUGAUGUUCCUUGGGUGCAUCUCCCAAAUCCCAGGAGCACAGUUUCUACUAUCCUACAACCUCACCAUGCUGGGCAAGGUAGAGGUAAGGCUUAAAGACUGGUGCCUGCCUUCCCAGGUUGGCCCAAGAAAAUGAGGCACAUAUUCUGUUGCAACUGAGCCCCAAACCAUCUGGAGGAAUUCAGUUGACUCCCCUCACGGGCCCUUGCAUGUGGAGAGGGCCAGGAACAGGAUAACUUACUUUUGAACACACCACUAUCUAAGUUCUUUAGUUUUUUCUCCAGUUCUCCUCCCCUUAUAGCUUGUAGAAUUAUUUUUUUUUUCUGAGAACUUUAAAACAUUUUAUUUUGUUUUGUUUUGUUUUGUUUUUUGAGACAGGGUCUUGAUGUCACCCAGGCUGGAGUGCAGAUCAUAGUUCACUGCAGCCUCCAACUCCUACGCUCAAAUGAUCCUCCUGUCUCAGCCUCCCAAGUAGCUGGGACUACAGGUGUGUGUCACCAUGCCUAGCUAAUUUUUAAAUUUUUCUUUUGUAAAGAUGGGGGUCUCGCUUUGUUGGUCUCAAAUUCCUGUCCUCAAGCGAUCCUCCCACCUCAGCCUUCCAAAGCACUGAGCCACUGAGUCCAGUCUUUUUUUAUUAAAUACAGAAAAAUAUGGAGAAUAAUAAAAUGAACGUGUGUCCUCACUACCAAGGAUCAAAGAUUAUUAACAUUUUGUCAUAUUUCUGCUGUAUUUUAAAGAAAUACAAAAAUUACAGAUAAAUUUUAUAUUCUUUUACCUCUUGCUCUGCACCCCAGAGUCCCAUUAACCAUGUCCUCUCCCCAAGGGUAACAACUACCAUAUUUGUUUGUAUUUUUCCAGUACAAUUUUUAGAUUUUACGUACAUUAGAUUACUUUAUACUAUAUAUAUUACACAAAUUAUUUUACUUUAGCAAUAUAUGAUAAUGUCUUUUUUUUUUUUUUGAGAUGAAUUCUUGCUCUGUCGCCCAGGCUAGAGUGCAGUGGCGCGAUCUCGGCUCACUGCAACCUCCACCUCCUGGGUUCAUGCAAUUCUCCUGCCUCAGCCUCCUGAGUAGCUGGGAUUAGGUGUGUGCCACCAUGGCCAGCUAAUUUUUGUAUUUUUAGUAGAGACGGGGUUUCACCAUGUUGGUCAGGCUGGUCUCGAACUCCUGACCUCAAGUAAUCCACCCAAUUUGGCCUCCCAAAGUGUCAGGGUUACAGGGAUGAGCCACCGCGCCUGGCCUAUAAUAAUGUCUUGAAUGUGUAUGAAAUGUAUAUAAAUAUGCUAUGCCAUAUCAAUUUGUGUAUUCAUUUCAAAUCAUCCUCUUAGGACUGGGCAUGGUACCUCACACCUGUAAUCCCAGCACUUUGGGAGGCCGAGAUGGGAGGAUUGCUUGAGGCCAGGAGUUUGAGACCAGACUGGCCAACAUAGUGAGACCCCAUUUCUAUUUUAUACAAUUAAAAUAUUGGCUGGGAACAGUGGCUCAUGCCUGUAAUUUCAGCACUUUGGGAGGCCAAGGGGGGCAGAUCACUUGAGGUCAGGAGUUUGAGACCAACCUGGCAAAUAUGGUGAAACCCCAUCUCUACUGAAAAUACAAAAAUUACCUGGACAUGGUGGUGGGCACCUGUAAUCCCAGCUACUUGGGAGGCUGAGGCAGAAGAAUUGCUUGAACCUGGGAGGCAGAGACUGCAGUGAGCCUAGAUCACGCUACUGCACUCCAGCCUGGGUGACAGAGUGUGACUCUGUCUCAAAAAAAAAUUAAUUAAAUUAAAUUAAAAUAUUAAAAAUAAAAUAAUCCACUUAGGCUGGUGCAUGGCUCAUGCCUGUAAUCCCAGCACUUUGGGAGGCCAAGGCAGGAGGAUUGCUUGAGGCCAGGAGUUUAAGACCAGCCUGGGUGGCAACAUAGUGAGACCCUGUCUCUACAAACAAUACAAAAAUUAGCCAGGUAUAAUAAUGUACACCUGUAGUCCCAGCUACUGAGGAGGCUGAGGUGGGAGGAUCACUUGAGUCCAGGAAUUAAAUGUUACAGUGGGCUAUGAGCCUGCCACUGUACUCCAACCUGGACAACAGAGUGAGACCCCAUCUCAAAAAAAAAUUUAUAAAAAUGCAAUUAUUUGGCCGGGCGUGGUGGCUCAUGCCUGUAAUCCCAGCACUUUGGGAGGCUGAGGCGGGUGAAUCACCUGAGGUCAAGAGUUCAAGACCAACCUGGCCAACAUGGUGAAACCCCGUCUCUACUAAAAGUACAAAAAAUUAGCCGUGCAUGGUGGCAGGCACCUGUAAUCCCAGCUACUCAGGAGGCUGAGGCAGGAGAAUUGCUUGAACCUGGGAGGUGGAGGUUGCAGUGAGCCAAGAUUGCAGCACUGCACUUCAGCCCGGGUGACAAGAGCAAGACUCUGUCAAAAAAAAAAAAAAAAAAGCAAUUAUUCCUUUACUAUCUUGUAAUAUUAUUUUUGAGAUGUUUCCAUGUUGACACAGUGUACCAGUUAGGAAUGCUUCUGGCUAAAGAUAACACGAAACCCAACCAAGAGUGAUUUAAACAAACGAACUUUUUUCUCUCACAUACAAAUAUUCUGGAGGUCGAUAGCUGUUGGCAUUUUUUUUCCCAUAACUCAGUUAUGUCAGGGACAGAAUUUCUGUACUUCUGGCACUUUCUUCACGGCUGUAUGCAGGGGGAAAGUGCAGUGCCAGCUGCAUUUGUCUCUAGAAUCCCUCAACAAACUUCCAUUUAUAUCUCUGAUCAGCUGGGCACGGUGGUGCACCUGUGGUCCCAGCUACUCAAAAGGCUGAGCCCAAGAGUUUGAGACCAGCCUGGGCAAAAUAAUGAUACCCCUUCUCAAAAAAAGAAAAAAAAAUCUCAUCGAUCAUUAUUUUCCCAUGGCCUACGUGCAAAGGAGCUUAGGAAAGAGGAUAAUUAGUCUUUUCAGCCCCAUAGAGAAGGUGGCAAAUGGAGAAAAGAGUCAGGAAUGGUUGCUGGGUCAGUCAAUGUCUAGUAUAUUAUUCCUAAAAGAAUAUUUCUUGUGACUGCUAUCACUGUUAUAUGGAUUUUCUUACUUAUUCCACUACUGAUGGAUGUUUCCAAUGUUUGCCAUUUCAAGCAAUGAUGCAAUGAACAACCUUGUAUAUGUCUUCUUGUGAAUUUGUAAAAUCUUUAUCGUCUCCAUUGCACAAAAAAACUGGCUCUGCUAAAUUGUAUAUUUUUGCAUACCAGGAUAUGUUUUUGAAACAAAAAAGCUGAAUGUUUAACUUUUUUUCCUCUCUAACAUCAUGUUCCUGAGGCACAAACCCAAAUAUCCUUCAGUGAGGGAAGGAUCAAGAGGGAGUAGGGAUGUCUAGGGGUGGAAAGCUAGUGAACAUUAUAAAAAUAAUUUCCUGCUAAAAAGAAAUUAUAAAGUCUUAAUAUAUUAGAAAUUAUAUUCUGAAUUAGUACAUAAACAAAAACUAGGACAUCAAAAAGACUCACAAAGAAGCAGAAAUCUCAGAACAGACCACACAGGAUGAAAAGAACAGUGCAACACAAGAAUUCAGUAUAGUUAGGAGCUCAAACAAACAAGACCAAUCAUACUAGUUACAGGGUAUCCUCAAUUCCCUAGCGAGGAGGAACAGGAGAUUUUUAUCUGUGUCAGUAAAGAUUCUUUACAUUGCAAGUGAAGAAAAAUCCAAGGCAAACUGCUUUCACUAGAAAAGGAAACAGAAAAGACUAUUGCUAAGUCCAGUGAUGGUCAUGACUUUAUCCAAAGUUCAAAUCAUGUUAGUAGGACCUAGCUCCCAGAUCCUCUUCCUCUGAGUGUUAGCUUCAUUUUCAGGCAAGUUCCUUUCCUGGUAACAGAAUGGCUGUAGCAGUCUCAACUUCACAUUCAUAGGACACAGAAUCCUGAAGAAGAAUUUAGCUUAUCUUCCAGUAGCUUCAUUUUAUUAGGGAGAGGUUUUUCUUUCCCAAGAGCCCCAGCAAAUAUCCUUAUAUCUCACUGGGCUUCUGACUAGGUUAUGAGUUCAUUAAUGAACCAUCAGUAAGGCCAUGGAGAUGGAAUAUGUUGACUGACCUAACCCAGUCUGAGCUCUCCCAGAGCUGAGGCUGAGACCAAUUCUACCCAAUCACAUAGCUUGAGAGUAGGGGAGGGAGUGAUUACCCAGGAUAAAAUCUUUGUAUUAUUUCACCAAAAGAAGGGUGUUCAACCCAGCGAUCUCGUUACUGGGUAUACACCCAAAGGAAAAUAAAUCGUUCUACCGAAAGGACACAUGCAUCCAUGUGUUCAUUGCAGCGCUGUUGACAACAGAAUCAACCCAGGUGCCCUCAAUGGUGAAUUAGAUUUAAAAAAUGUGGUACGCAUACACCACAGAAUACUAUGCAGCUAUAAGAAAGAACAAAAUCAUGUCCUUUACAGAAACAUGGGUAGAGCUGUAGGCCACUAUUGUAAGCAAAUUAACACAGGAACAGAAAAGCAAAUACCUCAUGUUCUCACUUAUAAGUGGGAGAUAAACAUUGGAUACACAUGGGCAUAAAGAUGAGCGCAAUGACACUAGGUACUAAAGGGGGAAGAGGGGGUGGAGGGCAAGAGCUGAAAAACUACCCAUUGGGUACUAUACUGACUACCUGGGUAAUGGGUUCACUCAUACCCCAAACCUCUGCAUCAUGCAAUAUAUCUUUGUAACAAAUCUGCACAUGUACCCUCUAAUGUGAAAAUAAAAGUUGAAAAAGAAAAAAGAAG
Molecule: long non-coding RNA, 6933 nt
Filed under: Homo sapiens (human)
Lineage: Eukaryota; Metazoa; Chordata; Mammalia; Primates; Hominidae
Description: PREDICTED lncRNA (TCONS_00111684)
Source: RNAcentral